CGUGUCAGGCCGGUACGGUACAGGUCUGUUAAUAGAACUAAGAAACCGACCUGACCCUACCCGUACCGUCCCGGGCCAUUCCCUUGUAAAUGUAAAAUGUGACGAAGAGAAGAGCCAUCAGCUCCCAGCAGGGGGUGACAUAUGCCUCAGUACUAAUACUAAAGCCCGGACUGUAGAACUACAAUAAGGUAAAUAGCAUUUGUGCUUUUAAUGACAAAUGUUAAAACUUAUGCUUUGAUGGCAUUUUACACAUUAGAAUGUGAUGUGCAUUAGAUCAGAGGACAAAAAGCAAUUAAAAUGAGUAAAUACUUUAUUAACAUUGUUCAUUAGCAUGGUCUUAUCUACAGUUACAUUUCUACACAAGAAAACAAAUUAAAUACAAAUUCACAGGCUAGGUGUCAGGUGUAACAUUAUAGUAAAGAAAAAUAUACAGAGAGAAAGAUUAAUUGAACAACUAGAUCAGUGAGGUCCCUUUGAUGUUUUUUAAAAACAGGUUGAUGAAUUCCACUGGGAAAACAUGAGGGCAGGGUAAAUUCAACAAGUUCUAGCCGUUACUCUGCAAUGUACUGAAAAUGUGAUGUUUCAUUUCUAAAAGACAGUAUACGAAAAAAGCCAAACGUUUUCGUACUCUAAAAACCACCGACACUGAAAACCUCGAUUUACCCAAACUGCAAAUUUCUCAGUUUGUACUUUCAUUUUGGUUUCACUUGAGAUUGCUUCAACCACAUUCUGUUACCCCACAGCCCAACCAUCACCCCAAAACGUUGUUAGAAAGCCUUCAUUUCCUAACUCUAAAAAAAAAAAAAAAAUACAAAAGUUAAAGCCUGUAUAAAAUUAUUCUAUUAAAUAUGUUACAUGGAAAACCAUAAUUAUUAGUUCCUUCAUUUUUCGUUAAUAUGGUUACAAGUAUACACGAGUAAUAAAACUCAAAAGCUCGAUACUCUCUAAUUAAUGAUUAAUACUUCUAAGAUUAGACACCAUGCUCCUUCAAAUACUAUAGUUCACAGUUAAUUGUCAAUAUUACUUACAAUGGCAAGUGGUUACAUGAGACAUGAAAAAGAUACACCACCACAUUCCAUCAAACCCACAGGGUCCAUAAGCUGAACUUUUCUAUGUCGUCCUGAUUUGUUGUAAGAAACCAUCACAGUAUUAUAGAUCGUGUUGAGAAGCAACAGAAACAUUUUAGACUCACUUCAUGCCUCUUACUGGCAAAUCACGGUGAAAGGACAAGCAAAGUAGCAUCAUGACACAAGAAAAGAGGAAUGUGUGCGCAAUAGGAAAGAGAAAAAAAAAACCCCGAAGAUGUGGUCAGUGCAAGUAUUCUGACAGGAACGUCUGAUCUACCCUUCUUAAUGCACUUAAGCAGCUCUCGAGCUGCAAAGCACUGGUAAUAAGAAACGGGUGAAAAUGAGCGUCGAGGGCAAAGAGUAAAAAGGGAAGAGUGCCGCAUCUGCCUCUUGAAGUUAUUCUCCUCCUCAAGGUCCAAUUGCACAUAAUGAAGGAAUUUCCACCACUUCUCCUCCAUCAGCCCUGGAAACACAGAAUAGUCAUUCAAAUGUAACCACUGAGAGGCUUUUAAGGCCCACUUAUACUUCAAUCUUAAAGCCACUUCAGAUGGAACAGAGUGCAGCAAUUUGGAGGAGAAAAAAAAAAAAUAAUAAAAUAAUAAUAAUCUCUCUCCAACCCUGAAGCAUCCAAACUUCCCUCCCACUUCCACUGUGAUUAAAUGGGGGUGGAAACCGGUGGGCAUGCGGACAGCACGUCUCACACCCCCUCUUCUCAAACGAGCUCAUCACGGAGCGUGUUAGUUGUAGUGCAUCUGUUCAUUAAAUGCAUUUCUCAUGGCAAGGUGGAAGCGUCGUUCCUUUUAAAUCAAGCCGCUUCUAAAUAUUUUAUUGAAACCGUCAGUGGAGAGAGACAUGACAUGACAUCGUUUCAUUGUCUUACUGUAUUCAUUUACAUUUGUGUCUUUGGUGUACAGCACAAACAAAUGAAUUGGCCUCGGCGUUCCAAUAGUUUCGGAGGGGACUGUAGUUUAAUACACAUUUACAGGAUUU
This is a long non-coding RNA of Ictalurus punctatus (channel catfish), 2057 nucleotides long. Lineage: Eukaryota; Metazoa; Chordata; Actinopteri; Siluriformes; Ictaluridae. The record is from Ensembl.